CCUACGGGUUGCAGCAGUGGGGAAUUUUGGACAAUGGGCGAAAGCCUGAUCCAGCCAUUCCGCGUGUGUGAUGAAGGCCUUCGGGUUGUAAAGCACUUUUGUCAGGGAAGAAACAGCGAUGAAUAAUACUUGUCGCGAAUGACGGUACCUGAAGAAUAAGCACCGGCUAACUACGUGCCAGCAGCCGCGGUAAUACGUAGGGUGCAAGCGUUAAUCGGAAUUACUGGGCGUAAAGCGUGCGCAGGCGGUUCGGAAAGAAAGAUGUGAAAUCCCAGAGCUCAACUUUGGAACUGCAUUUUUAACUACCGGACUAGAGUGUGUCAGAGGGGGGUGGAAUUCCGCGUGUAGCAGUGAAAUGCGUAGAGAUGCGGAGGAACACCGAUGGCGAAGGCAGCCCCCUGGGAUAACACUGACGCUCAUGUACGAAAGCGUGGGUAGCAAACAGGAUUAGAUACCCUCGUAGUC
RNAcentral lists this ribosomal RNA (465 nucleotides) under uncultured bacterium. RNAcentral describes it as "bacterial SSU rRNA". It matches the Rfam family "Bacterial small subunit ribosomal RNA", at positions 338 to 795 of the family's 1533-position model. The record is from RNAcentral.